AAUUCCCCCAAAUCAAAACGUAAGAGCUUUUCUCACAGAACACACUCAAGAGCUUUUCUCACAAAGCUAAAGAAUUGAAGAUCGAACACAAAGUUGAAGAGCUGAAGAGAUGAAGAGUUGAAGAUCGAACACAGAUUUCACGAUUUCACAUUGAAGAGCUGAAGAGCUACUCAUUGAAGAACAGGAUUUCAUGAUUUCUUCUUGAAGAGCUGCAGGUUACGCCUCACAGAUGAACACACCUCACUAAAAUGGAACAAAAUGCUUCACUUGAGAAGAUGGUGUCUUAAAGCUUCAUCACAUUGAAUGGUUUAUUAGGUUAUUUAUGUAAAGAUUCAAAGGAAUUCAAGAUUAUCAAGGCCUCACUAAGUCCUUAUGUCAUGGAAAAAUUUAUUGUUCCUCAAUUACAGCAAAGCUAGUUAAUCUGAAGAUUGGAAGCCCAUGGGAAAUGAUGCAAGUUUUACCCAUCAACUAAAAGAUCAACAUAGCAGGGAUCGAUGUCACAUGCUUUGAUGCUAAUCAUUUCCCGGGUUCCCUAAUAAUCCUUUUUGAGCCACCCAAUGGUCAGGUUGUCCUGCACACGGGGGAUUUCCGAUUUUGUGAAGAAAUGACAAGGAAUGCAGUCUUGCAGACUUAUGGUAGUCUCAUCCUAGAUACUACAUACUAUGAUCCUCAGGUAUUUAUAUUGUUAAUUCAUUCUUGGCUGUGAAGUCAAAUAACCUACCAAAAAUUAUGUGCUUGGUGUGGAUUUUAGGUAGUAAACUCAAUAAAUGGUUAUAUAUUUUGAGUGUCAUACCCUGGCAAUAGAAGCAAUCACUUUGAAGAAAUUCUCUACUAUGAUUAUGUCACAUGUAUUAGGUUUGCUGGUAAAACGGGUUGAAUGCUUGUUGUAGUGUAUGCCUUUGCCU
Molecule: long non-coding RNA, 905 nt
Organism: Solanum stenotomum
Lineage: Eukaryota; Viridiplantae; Streptophyta; Magnoliopsida; Solanales; Solanaceae
Exons: 5
Source: RefSeq, a predicted model, not a curated record